RNAcentral lists this transfer RNA (68 nucleotides) under Cautires sp. UPOL 000188. Its description in RNAcentral is "tRNA-Phe". Lineage: Eukaryota; Metazoa; Arthropoda; Insecta; Coleoptera; Lycidae. The record is from RNAcentral.
AUAUUUUAAGGUUUAAUUACCCUCUUAAUAUCUUCAAUAUUAUGCUUUAAAUAUAAGCUAUUAAAAUA